UCUGAGCGACUAGCUAUUUGUCUGCAUACUUUCAAAACAAGUCACACUACUUCCUGUAUGUACUGCAAAAGGCAUAUAGUAAUGAAAUUCUUUCCCAAGUUUGAAAAGCCGGCGCAAGGAUUGCCCAGUAACAACCCUCCUUUUUUACUACUUCAAUGAGCUACCUAGACUCACGAGACCUCUAUUCUCGUAGAUCUGACAAUAACCCGUAAAGCAGAAGGUUGGAUGGGAGGCUUGAGAGCUGUAAAUACUGAUUUCCUGUUGCAAGUUGUGCCGUGGGAAAAUCAUCGUUAUGCAUUAAAUCUCAAAAUUUCCCACGUUAUCUUCAGCCAAAGUUCUCCUCCUCCCCAGAUUCGAAAUGUCUGCAAAGGAUCUUGUACAUUGGCGCUCAGUGACGUGGACCACUCGUUGAAGGUGCUCUUCAAAUUUAGUUUCUUUAAAUCAAUUUAAUUGAUAAGUUUACUUCAAACAAAACCCUAGUCCCUCUACCUUCGAGACUAUCUUGCGGAGAUAAUUAAGUCAGGACACUGAUAAAUGGACCAGCUAUUGAUAUAACAGUAAGGAUAGCUGUAGUCAGAAAGACUGGCUAAAGUGAGUAUUCCAUAACAGCAGUGCAUUCAGUUUAUAGAAAGACACACAAGAGCAUAUCUUUAAAUAUCCAGCGGGUGAGAAAUAAUUUUGUCAGCAGAUGACAUGGGGUAAUUGAGAUGUAAUGCAUAAUGAUCAUUCUCCCACAGUGGGACUUUUAACAGGAACAGUCAUUAUUUGUAUAUGCAUCUCGCGUCCCCCACACAACUUUCUUUUAGAGAUUGUUGUCAGAUUUACGAGAAUAAAGGUCUCCAAAUGA
Long non-coding RNA from Dermochelys coriacea (leatherback sea turtle), 847 nucleotides. RefSeq lists it as uncharacterized. Lineage: Eukaryota; Metazoa; Chordata; Testudines; Dermochelyidae. The transcript has 2 exons. The record is from RefSeq and is a predicted model, not a curated record.